RNAcentral lists this ribosomal RNA (275 nucleotides) under uncultured bacterium. RNAcentral's name for it is "partial 16S ribosomal RNA". It matches the Rfam family "Bacterial small subunit ribosomal RNA", at positions 338 to 604 of the family's 1533-position model. The record is from RNAcentral.
CCUACGGGUGGCUGCAGUUUCGAAUCUUUCUCAAUGGGGGAAACCCUGAAGGAGCAACGCCGCGUGGAGGAUGACGGUCUUCGGAUUGUAAACUCCUGUCACCACAGAAAAACGCUUUUUGUCUAACACAUGAAAAGCUUGAUUGUAUGUGGAGAGGAAGGGACGGCUAACUCUGUGCCAGCAGCCGCGGUAAUACAGAGGUCCCGAGCGUUGUCCGGAUUUACUGGGCGUAAAGGGUGUGUAGGUGGUCUGGGUAAGUCGGAUGUGAAAUCUCG